UUUUUUUUUUUGUAGUGAUGGGGUCUCACUAUUUUUGCCCACCCUGGUCUCGAACUCCUGAGCUAAAGUGAUCCUCCUGCUUUGGCCUCCCAAACUGCUGGGAUUACAGGUAUGAGCAGCCUCGCCCGGCCUCAAUUACUUUUUAUAUUGACAAAGAGAAGAUGUUGCAAUGUCCUCAAACGUAAAACACCCCCUACAGUUCCAAUUCUGGGCCUGUCUCUAUCUAUCUAUCUUUGCCCUUCUGGUCCGUUCCCUGUUCUAAGCCCCAGGGAACUUAGGGCUGAAAGUCACCCCCGAGGCCUCAGACCAGAUCCGGAGGCCACACGCAGCUCAUGGGGACAGAGGGCCCAGGGUGACGGUCCACUCAGGAGAGGUGCUAUGUGACUCCAGGGAGUCUGUCCCUCUCCGGGCUCCAAUCCCCAGCCCUGACCAUACAAGCUCAGAUGACCCAGCCUCUGUCCCUUUAGCGGCCGAGGAGCCACCACCUGUUCGGGGGCUGGAGGAUGGCCUCGCAGAGGACCUGGGACACUCACCUAGCUCGUUCAUGGCACGGCGGUACUCCUCCUCAAAGGACAGCUUCAUAACAGCACAGGUGGCCUGGCAGAUCUGCGGCUCGAUGGGGAUCGGGUCUGUGGGCACAGGGACCAGAUCAGAGCCCCCAUUCCCAGGAAAUGACCCAGGUGACUCCCGAAGGUCCCCCCCCCCCCCCCCCGCAACCUGCCCGCCCCAGGCCUGAAGGAUCCCGGGAGUUUCGCAAAUGGCUGCAAAGUUGGGACUUCCUUUCCCAGCCUCUCUAAGAUGGGAUGAUGGGGUGGCCUCUCUCACUCAGCCUUGGGAAGGGAGGCGAGGUAGUUCUGGAGCACCACACCUUUCAGCUGUGCUUCUGCCCUUUUUAAAAAUAAAACUGAUGAGACAGGGUCUCGCUCUGUUGUUCAGA
This 937-nucleotide non-coding RNA is filed under the name Pan troglodytes (chimpanzee). Lineage: Eukaryota; Metazoa; Chordata; Mammalia; Primates; Hominidae. The record is from RNAcentral.